RNAcentral lists this ribosomal RNA (37 nucleotides) under uncultured Pseudonocardiaceae bacterium. RNAcentral's name for it is "partial 23S ribosomal RNA". Lineage: Bacteria; Bacillati; Actinomycetota; Actinomycetes; Pseudonocardiales; Pseudonocardiaceae. The record is from RNAcentral.
GUCAAGUGUGUAAGGGCACAUGGUGGAUGCCUUGGCA